GGAGCAAUUGCUCAGUGGUAAGAGCACUGGCUGUUCUUCCAAAGGACCUGGGUUCAAUUCCCAGCCCCA
This 69-nucleotide transfer RNA is filed under the name Mesocricetus auratus (golden hamster). It matches the Rfam family "tRNA". From Rfam's summary of the family: Transfer RNA (tRNA) molecules are approximately 80 nucleotides in length. Their secondary structure includes four short double-helical elements and three loops (D, anti-codon, and T loops). The record is from Rfam by way of RNAcentral. Lineage: Eukaryota; Metazoa; Chordata; Mammalia; Rodentia; Cricetidae.